CUGGACAGGGUUUUAGUUAAAAGCUCACUAAAAUAAACAUUUGACCUUCUUCAAAAUCUGUAAUGUACAGAGUGAAGAUUCACACCUACAGUACGGAGUUGUGGCAAAUUAUGUUUCUCAGCCUGUAGAUGGAAAUGAAGAGGCGGCAGCUCCAUUGAAGGCCAGGCAGAUGAGAAGAUUUUUACCAGGAAGAGAAGGAGAGAGAGAAGCUGAAGGAGACUGACGGAGCUGAAGGAGCCGAUCUGAGAGCUCCAGUAACGAUUCCAGAGAACCUGCAUUUCGAAACGGAAAAUGUUCCAGCUCAGCUCAGAACAUGAAGUCGGACGGAAUUUAACAUUAACGUGAUCUGACUAGCUCACUGGCACCACUGUCGCCGCGGCCCAAACCACACUCUUCUGUACUUUACA
Colossoma macropomum (tambaqui) is the source of this 407-nucleotide long non-coding RNA. RefSeq lists it as uncharacterized. NCBI's taxonomy places the organism in Eukaryota, Metazoa, Chordata, Actinopteri, Characiformes, Serrasalmidae. The record is from RefSeq and is a predicted model, not a curated record. The transcript is spliced from 4 exons.